RNAcentral lists this ribosomal RNA (602 nucleotides) under uncultured bacterium. RNAcentral describes it as "bacterial SSU rRNA". It matches the Rfam family "Bacterial small subunit ribosomal RNA", at positions 60 to 689 of the family's 1533-position model. The record is from RNAcentral.
AGUCGAACGAGAAAGUUUCCUUCGGGAAGCGAGUAAAGUGGCGGACGGGUGAGUAACACGUAGGUUACCUGCCCUCGAGUGGGGAAUAACUCCGGGAAACUGGAGCUAAUACCGCAUACGACCCUUCGGGGUGAAAGGCUUCGGUCGCUCGGGGAUGGGCCUGCGGUCGAUUAGCUAGUUGGUAGGGUAAAGGCCUACCAAGGCAUCGAUCGAUAGCCGGCCUGAGAGGGCACACGGCCACACUGGCACUGAGACACGGGCCAGACUCCUACGGGAGGCAGCAGUGGGGAAUCUUGGACAAUGGGGGAAACCCUGAUCCAGCGACGCCGCGUGAUCGAUGAAGGCCUUCGGGUCGUAAAGAUCUUUCGACGGGGACAAUAAUGAUGGUACCCGUAUAAGAAGGAGCGGCUAACUACGUGCCAGCAGCCGCGGUAAUACGUAGGCUCCAAGCGUUGUUCGGAAAUUACUGGGCGUAAAGCGAGUGUAGGCGGUCCGUCAAGUUGGUUGUGAAAUCUCCCGGCUCAACUGGGAGGCUGCAAUCAAACUUGACGGACUAGAGUCGUGGAAAAGAAAGUGGAAUUCCUGGUGUACCGGUGAAAUGC